This 360-nucleotide ribosomal RNA is filed under the name Triticum aestivum (bread wheat). RNAcentral's name for it is "partial small subunit ribosomal RNA". Lineage: Eukaryota; Viridiplantae; Streptophyta; Magnoliopsida; Poales; Poaceae. The record is from RNAcentral.
AUGAUGCCGAGAUGCCAUCACUAUCCGGUCUGGGGGGACCCGGACCUAGGGUUUCCCCUGAGCUCGAAGAGGGGCGCAGCUGAAGGCCUUGGCAACGCCUCCAAGAAGGAAACGACACCCGCGGGCGCCGUCGUUGCCAGCACCGGCAAAAAAACCGAGCAGGGAUCUCUCCCUGGCCUGAAGCUGCACGAUCCCAUAGCCGCCGAUUCUGAAAUCAUGGAUGAGGAGGCCAAUGUUGAUCGGAACCACCAUCAGGAAGGGGUUCGCGGGGCUGCACCUGCGGUCGGAGGGUGGCACUGCCUCCAAACCCGUGAGCAUUGGAUCCAGCAAAAGGAGGAGGCUUUGAGGCGUACAGGGUAG